UACGUAUGGGGCGAGCGUUGUCCGGAUUUAUUGGGCGUAAAGAGCUCGUAGGCGGUUUGGCAAGUCGGGUGUGAAAACUCCGGGCUCAACUCGGAGACGCCACUCGAUACUGCCAUGACUCGAGUCCGGUAGGGGAGUGCGGAAUUCCUGGUGUAGCGGUGAAAUGCGCAGAUAUCAGGAGGAACACCGGUGGCGAAGGCGGCACUCUGGGCCGGUACUGACGCUGAGGAGCGAAAGCGUGGGGAGCGAACAGG
RNAcentral lists this ribosomal RNA (254 nucleotides) under uncultured bacterium. Its description in RNAcentral is "partial 16S ribosomal RNA". It matches the Rfam family "Bacterial small subunit ribosomal RNA", at positions 524 to 776 of the family's 1533-position model. The record is from RNAcentral.